ACGGAAGGCAGCAGUGGGGAAUAUUGCGCAAUGGGGGGAACCCUGACGCAGCAACGCCGCGUGAGUGAGGAAGUAUUUCGGUAUGUAAAGCUCUAUCAACGGGGACGAUAAUGACGGUACCCGAGUAAGAAGUCCCGGCUAACUACGUGCCGGCAGCCGCGGUAAUACGUAGGGGACAAGCGUUAUCCGGAUUUACUGGGUGUAAAGGGUGCGUAGGCGGCAAAGCAAGUCAGAAGUGAAAGCCCGCGGCUCAACUGCGGGACUGCUUUUGAAACUGUUGAGCUAGAGUACUGGAGGGGUAAGCGGAAUUCCUAGUGUAGCGGUGAAAUGCGUAGAUAUCAGGAAGAACACCGGAGGCGAAGGCGGCUUGCUGGACAGAGACUGACGCUGAGGCACGAAGGCGUGGGGAGCAAACAGGAUUAGAUACCCUGGUA
This 434-nucleotide ribosomal RNA is filed under the name uncultured Lachnospiraceae bacterium. Its description in RNAcentral is "partial 16S ribosomal RNA". It matches the Rfam family "Bacterial small subunit ribosomal RNA", at positions 341 to 792 of the family's 1533-position model. Lineage: Bacteria; Bacillati; Bacillota; Clostridia; Lachnospirales; Lachnospiraceae. The record is from RNAcentral.